UACAGAGGUCCCAAGCGUUGUUCGGAUUCACUGGGCGUAAAGGGUGCGCAGGUGGCGCUUCAAGUUUGAUGUGAAAGCUUCGGGCUCAACCCGGAAAUGGCAUUGAAUACUGGAGUGCUGGAGGUUUGGAGGGGGGACUGGAAUUCCUGGUGUAGCGGUGAAAUGCGCAGAUAUCAGGAGGAACACCGGUGGCGAAGGCGGGUCUCUGGGCCGAUACUGACGCUGAGGAGCGAAAGCGUGGGGAGCGAACAGG
RNAcentral lists this ribosomal RNA (253 nucleotides) under uncultured bacterium. Its description in RNAcentral is "partial 16S ribosomal RNA". It matches the Rfam family "Bacterial small subunit ribosomal RNA", at positions 524 to 776 of the family's 1533-position model. The record is from RNAcentral.